GACGAACGCUGGCGGCGUGCUUAACACAUGCAAGUCGAACGAAGAGCGAUGGAAGCUUGCUUCUAUCAAUCUUAGUGGCGAACGGGUGAGUAACGCGUAAUCAACCUGCCCUUCAGAGGGGGACAACAGUUGGAAACGACUGCUAAUACCGCAUACGAUCUAACCUCGGCAUCGAGGAUAGAUGAAAGGUGGCCUCUACAUGUAAGCUAUCACUGAAGGAGGGGAUUGCGUCUGAUUAGCUAGUUGGAGGGGUAACGGCCCACCAAGGCGAUGAUCAGUAGCCGGUCUGAGAGGAUGAACGGCCACAUUGGGACUGAGACACGGCCCAGACUCCUACGGGAGGCAGCAGUGGGGAAUCUUCCGCAAUGGACGAAAGUCUGACGGAGCAACGCCGCGUGAGUGAUGACGGCCUUCGGGUUGUAAAGCUCUGUUAAUCGGGACGAAAGGCCUUCUUGCGAAUAGUGAGAAGGAUUGACGGUACCGGAAUA
This 488-nucleotide ribosomal RNA is filed under the name Veillonella parvula. Its description in RNAcentral is "bacterial SSU rRNA". It matches the Rfam family "Bacterial small subunit ribosomal RNA", at positions 28 to 485 of the family's 1533-position model. Lineage: Bacteria; Bacillati; Bacillota; Negativicutes; Veillonellales; Veillonellaceae. The record is from RNAcentral.